AACGCUAGCUACAGGCUUAACACAUGCAAGUCGCGGGGCAGCAUGAAUUUAGCUUGCUAAAUUUGAUGGCGACCGGCGCACGGGUGAGUAACGCGUAUCCAACCUGCCCAUCUCCACGGGAUAGCCCGUCGAAAGGCGGAUUAAUACCGUAUGAGGUCACGAGACGGCAUCAGACCGUGACGAAAGGUUUUGCGGAGAUGGAUGGGGAUGCGUCCGAUUAGCUGGUUGGCGGGGUAACGGCCCACCAAGGCGACGAUCGGUAGGGGUUCUGAGAGGAAGGUCCCCCACAUUGGAACUGAGACACGGUCCAAACUCCUACGGGAGGCAGCAGUGAGGAAUAUUGGUCAAUGGGCGAGAGCCUGAACCAGCCAAGUAGCGUGCAGGAUGACGGCCCUAUGGGUUGUAAACUGCUUUUAUGCGGGGAUAAAGUGGGGGACGCGUCCCUUUUUGCAGGUACCGCAUGAAUAAGGACCGGCUAAUUCCGUGCCAGCAGCCGCGGUAAUACGGAAGGUCCGGGCGUUAUCCGGAUUUAUUGGGUUUAAAGGGAGCGUAGGCUGGAGAUUAAGCGUGUUGUGAAAUGCCACGGCUCAACCGUGGCACUGCAGCGCGAACUGGUUUCCUUGAGUGCGCUGAAAGUGGGCGGAGUUGUGGUGUAGCGGUGAAAUGCUUAGAUAUCACGAAGAACUCCGAUUG
This 693-nucleotide ribosomal RNA is filed under the name uncultured Bacteroidales bacterium. Its description in RNAcentral is "bacterial SSU rRNA". It matches the Rfam family "Bacterial small subunit ribosomal RNA", at positions 32 to 715 of the family's 1533-position model. The record is from RNAcentral. Lineage: Bacteria; Pseudomonadati; Bacteroidota; Bacteroidia; Bacteroidales.